AAUAGAUACCCUGGUAGUCCACGCCGUAAACUAUGGAUGCUAGCUGUUGGCCGUAUCGACCCGGUCAGUAGCGAAGCUAACGCGUUAAGCAUCCCGCCUGUGGAGUACGAGCGCAAGCUUAAAACAUAAAGGAAUUGACGGGGACCCGCACAAGCGGUGGAGCGUGUUGUUUAAUUCGAUGAUAAGCGAAGAACCUUACCCAGACUUGACAUCCUUGGAAGGCCUCCGAAAGGAGACUGUGCCUUCGGGAACCAAGUGACAGGUGUUGCAUGGCCGUCGUCAGCUCGUGUCGUGAGAUGUUUGGUUAAGUCCAUCAACGAGCGCAACCCUUAUAGUUAGUUGAAUUUUUCUAGCUAGACUGCCCUGGCAACAGGGAGGAAGGGGGGGAUGAUGUCAGGUCAGUAUUACCCUUACGUCUGGGGCUACAAACACGCUACAAUGGCCGGUACAAAGGGCAGCCAACCCGCGAGGGGGAGCUAAUCCCAUCAAAGCCGGUCUCAGUUCGGAUUGCAGGCUGAAACUCGCCUGCAUGAAGCCGG
RNAcentral lists this ribosomal RNA (539 nucleotides) under uncultured bacterium. Its description in RNAcentral is "bacterial SSU rRNA". It matches the Rfam family "Bacterial small subunit ribosomal RNA", at positions 777 to 1329 of the family's 1533-position model. The record is from RNAcentral.